RNAcentral lists this transfer RNA (82 nucleotides) under Ixodes scapularis (black-legged tick). It matches the Rfam family "tRNA". From Rfam's summary of the family: Transfer RNA (tRNA) molecules are approximately 80 nucleotides in length. Their secondary structure includes four short double-helical elements and three loops (D, anti-codon, and T loops). The record is from Rfam by way of RNAcentral. Lineage: Eukaryota; Metazoa; Arthropoda; Arachnida; Ixodida; Ixodidae.
GCAGUCGUGGCCGAGUGGUUAAGGCGAUGGACUUGAAAUCCAUUGGGGUCUCUCCUCAUAGGUUCGAAUCCUGUCGGCUGCG